This is a long non-coding RNA of Eriocheir sinensis (Chinese mitten crab), 901 nucleotides long. RefSeq lists it as uncharacterized. Lineage: Eukaryota; Metazoa; Arthropoda; Malacostraca; Decapoda; Varunidae. The transcript is spliced from 2 exons. The record is from RefSeq and is a predicted model, not a curated record.
CCUCUGGGUGGGGGAGACGGUGCUUGGUUAGUCAGGUUGGGCUUGAUCAGGCUAGGAUAGGUGAGGUUAGGUGAAGCUAGGUUAAAUUAGGUUAGGUUAGAGGUUAGGUCUGGCUAGGUUAGUUAAGUCUGGUUAGGUUAAGUUAGGUCAGGUUAGGUUAGGUUAGGUUAGGUCAGGUUAGGUUAGGUCAGGCUGGGUUAGGUCAGGUUAGGUUAGAGGUUAGGUCUGGUUAAGUUAGUUAAGUCUGGUUUGGUUAAGUUAGGUUAGGUUAGGUUAGGUCAGAUCAGGUUAGGUCAGGCUAGGUUAGGUCAGGUUAGGCUAGGCUAAAUUAGGUUAGUUCAGGUUAGGUUAGAGGUUAGGUCUGGUUAGGUUAAAGUCUGGUUAGGUUAAGUUAGGUCAGGUUAGGUUAGGUCAGGUUAGGCUAGGUUCAAUUAGGUUAGUUCAGGUUAGGUUAGAGGUUAGGUCUGGUUAGGUUAGUUAAGUCUGGUUAGGUUGUUAGGUCAGGUCAGGUUAGGUCAGGUUGGGGAAAUUCAGGUUACGUUAGGUUAGAUCAGGCUAGGCUAGGUCAGGUUAGGUUAAGUCAGGUUAGGUUAAGUUAGGUCAGAUUGGUGUAGGUCAGGUUACGUUAGAUAAGGCUAGGUUAGAUCAGGCUAGGUUAGAUCAGGUUAGGAUCAGGCUAGGCUAUGCCAGGCUAGGUCAGGUUACGUUAGGAUAGGUUUGAUAAGAUUUAAGAGCGUGUGUGUGUGUGUGUUUGGCGGGGUAAGGGGAUGUUUGUGUGUGGAGGGGGGUGGGGGACAGACUGUGUUGGCUUUGGUUAGGUUAGGAGAGGGAAUGUGUGUUUGGUUAAGUUAGAAGAGACAAAGUGUGUGUGUGUGUGUGUGUGUGUGUGUGUGUGUGUGUA